UACGGGGGGGGCAAGCGUUGUUCGGAAUUACUGGGCGUAAAGGGCUCGUAGGCGGCCAACUAAGUCAUACGUGAAAUCCCUCGGCUUAACUGGGGAACUGCGUCUGAUACUGGAUGGCUUGAGUUCGGGAGAGGGAUGCGGAAUUCCAGGUGUAGCGGUGAAAUGCGUAGAUAUCUGGAGGAACACCGGUGGCGAAGGCGGCAUCCUGGACCGAUACUGACGCUGAGGAGCGAAAGCCAGGGGAGCAAACGGG
This 253-nucleotide ribosomal RNA is filed under the name uncultured bacterium. RNAcentral describes it as "partial 16S ribosomal RNA". It matches the Rfam family "Bacterial small subunit ribosomal RNA", at positions 524 to 776 of the family's 1533-position model. The record is from RNAcentral.